GGCUAUAGCUCAGCUGGGAGAGCGCCUGCCUUGCACGCAGGAGGUCAGCGGUUCGAUCCCGCUUAGCUCCA
Molecule: transfer RNA, 71 nt
Filed under: Salmonella enterica subsp. enterica serovar 1,4,[5],12:i:-
Lineage: Bacteria; Pseudomonadati; Pseudomonadota; Gammaproteobacteria; Enterobacterales; Enterobacteriaceae
Description: tRNA-Ala
Rfam family: tRNA
About the family: Transfer RNA (tRNA) molecules are approximately 80 nucleotides in length. Their secondary structure includes four short double-helical elements and three loops (D, anti-codon, and T loops).
Source: RNAcentral